GUUUGUGGCUCAGUGGUAGAACACUUUUCUCACAUGUAUGAGGCACUGGGUUUGAUUCUCAGCAGCACA
RNAcentral lists this transfer RNA (69 nucleotides) under Marmota monax (woodchuck). Its description in RNAcentral is "tRNA.Val". The record is from RNAcentral. Lineage: Eukaryota; Metazoa; Chordata; Mammalia; Rodentia; Sciuridae.